GGAAACUCAAUAACUACCAAAAUAUGUUAGUAACAUUAUAGUAUAGUGUAAGUAAUUGCAAAAUAUUUUUUCAAAAGAUAAAGGCAUCCAUAAAUUGUAAAUUAACAUCCAGAAAGUAACAUUGUAACCGUUUAACAUCAACUACAAAACUAAGAAUUAGUUGUUUCAAUGCCGACUAUUAUAAAAUAAUGCUACUCUAAAGUAACAAUUGCAUUUUCAUCAAUUGUUUGGAGAACAAUAUUCCUUGUCCGAGGAGGAUCGCCAUUAUCACUCGUGUACCCUUCGAUUGCCUUUGUCACUCCGUAAUGCCACAGUAAUGAAGCAUAAUGUGCACGUUGACUUCCAGUAUCAAACCCACAUAAAUGCACUUGCUGCCCUUCACUUAAUAUUUCUGCAUCAAGACGCCACAGUCCCUGAUUUCAAAAAGAAAAACAAUGAAGUAAUAGUACGUUCAAUAAUCAUGACAUUAUUAUACAUGUAAAAAGAAAACAAUCUGACAACAGUUACACCUGUAUGAGGGUAACUUAUACAGGUAUGAGGGUAACUUAUCAGACCCUAAAUAAACAUUAGUUACACCUGUAUGAGGGUAACUUAUACAUCUAAUAAUUUAAUUCAAAUCCUAAUUAAACAACAGUUACAUAUGUAUGAGGGUUACUUAUAUAUCUAACAAUUUAUAUUAGACCCUAAAUAAACAACAAUUACACAUGUAUGAGGGUAUCUUAUACAUCUCAAAAAUAAAAUCAGAACCUAAUUCAACAACAGUUAGACAUGUAUGAGGGUAGCUUAUACAUUUAAGAAAUAAACUGCUAUAAUGUAUAAUGUCAUAAUACAAAUUUUCAAAUUAAACUAUGUAUGACCUAUAAUCUUGUCUGAAUGUAGAAUGUCACCUUAUAAAAUAUUAAUACUUUAUAACUGUUUGAAUUUUCAGAACUGCCAAUGUAUAACAUAUUGAAAUAUAUUUUAGAAUACCUAUAUUAUACAUUAGUGGGACAAAAUAACUUCUGAUCACUUUGAAUGCCAGUUAUAAUUAAACAUAAGCUAAAUAUGUAUAAUGGGGAUCAUACAUAACGAGAAAAUCAGAAACAACACAUAGCAAUUAUAUAUAUAUUUAUAAGAUGAUUAAACCAUAGUCUAACAUAUCUAAUUAUAGAUAACCUAAAUAUAUAUAAGGAUAUUCAUACAUAUAUAUACACAAUAAGCAAUAUGAAACAGUUAUCGUUCCAAUAAAAAUGACAAGUCAGAUCUUUGAUGAAAUGUCCAAUUUCAAAGAUCCGACCUGAACUAUACCCUACCCCACCUACCCUAUACCCUACCCCUACUACCCUAUACCCUACCCCUACUACCCCAUCCAUGUGAGCUCCUCACAUUUCUUCUUCACAAAGAAAGACUACAACAAAAAUAGAAUAGGGAUCCACAGAAUUAUUCCGUUUUUCCAUUCUUGAAUGAAAUUCAAUACAUACGGGGUCCAUCAAUUCACACAAAGAAAAGACUUUACAUAUAAUAUAUGUAUUUAGCUACUGAGGAGGGGAGCACAGACCAACCUCAUCAUCAACGCACUCCAAUUUCUUUUUCCUUCUUCAUAAUACACCCACAGUGAUACCCCUAAUGUUCAUCACAAAUACACAAUAAUACACUUAGCCACACAUGCACGGUGAAGAGGAAGAGAGAUUCGAGUUAGGAGAGAUUGACGUAGGGAGAUCGUGAGAGGGAAAUAGGAAGAGUGUUGAGAUAGUCCGGCGAAGUAUCGCCGGAAAAGGCAUUUCACUGACGAUUCAUGUCAGUUCCGGUGAGCUUCUGUCGAGAAACGCCCCCUUGGAUUGGCAGCUCAGGUUCCGUCCUAUAACUCACCAAAAAUCAGUAACCAAAUCGAUCAUUAGUCUCGAUUCCUAUGAAAUUUCACCGAAAAAAUGGAACAGCAUCAACUCUGACCACACUUACCCCGUCUACUCCAAUUUUUCGGUAAAAAAUAGAUGGAAAAUGAUCGAAUUUAGGUAAAACGUAAUUCGAAUUUGGAAUUCAUGAUUCAGGGUUCGUAUUGAGUUUGUUUGCGCUAGUUUUAAAUCUAUCCCGGUGGUAUUUUUGGAUAUCGAGUUGGAGUUUAUUGGUCGAGGUCGGGUCAAGGCAUUUCGGUCGGAGCUCUAAUCAAAUACUUUAAUGGAUUAAAAUAAAAGUAACAUUGAGGUCCAAUUCUAUCUCUCCUGUUUUAAUUUUUACGUUAUCAUGUGUUGACACCCAAUUUUUGCUCUCCGUGCCUAAAAUUAACGUCUUCAGGCUUCUUGAUCAUUAAAGGGCACAAAAUAUAAUUUUCACAUCUUUUUUAUAAUUGUUGACAAAUUAUUGAUAAUCAUCCUUACUUUAGAAUUUUUAUCAAUUUGUUAUCGUAUUUUUACUUUUCAUAAUUUAUUAAUAAUCCUCCUUAUAUUAGGAUUUCUAUCAAUUAAUUAUCGUUUUUAACAUUUUACAAUCAUCUGUACACGUACACGACAUCACAUCACAUUUUUUCUUAUCAUUUUUCAAAUUAAUUAUAUUUUUUAAUAUUUUAUUUUUUUAAUUAUAAAUCAAUUUCUGCAUUCUUUUUUACAGUUCGCAAAUGCUAAGUCGAAUCAAUUAAUUUUAUACAGUAUAAUAAUUCAAAGUCUUGUCGCAUUCGACAAUAACCACACGAUAAUGUCUUGUCACAUCCGACAGUGACUACACAUAAUGUCUUGUCACAUCCGACAAUGACUACACAAUGAUGUCUUGUCACAUCCGACAGUGACUACACAUAAUGUCUUGUCACAUCUGAUAAUGACACUAUCCUUUGAACAAUAACUCUAUCCAUUGAUCAAAGGAUAAACAUCCUUUGGUAAAUAUCCUAAGGAUCAAAAUGUGUGCUAUUAAGAAAAGUAGGGACACCUCUUUAUCCAUUGGAUAAUAAGGGGUGUCAAUUUUCAUUAUAAAUAGUGGAAGGUGGAAGACAAAUGUCACACACAUUUUUUGCCACCCACUUAUUCAUUUUUUCUCUCUACACACACAUUUUCAUAUACCCACACAUAUUUUUUCUCUCUCUCAAAUACAUACACAAAAAAAAAUACAAGAAAAUAUCUUUCCUCAUUUUUCAUUCUCUCCCAAAAAUCACAAAUGCAUAUGCAUAUUUUUUAAUCACACACAUUAUAUUCUUCUUUCUCCUUUUUCUCUCUCUAUAACACGCAAAAAAUACACAUAUACACAUAAAAAUAAAUUAAAUUUUUGCUCCCUAUUUUGGUGAAAUUUCACCAUUUUUACUAGGGAUUAUGUUGGUUACAUUAUAUAUAUAUAUUUCUCAAGUGUUGUUGUUGCUAUUCAUAUUUUCUUACUGUUCAUGACCGAAACUUUGUGUCCCAGUUACUUUCUUUCCUUUAUCCAUUUCCAUCAAUCUUCAUUAUUUUUUUUUUGAGAGUUUUGUUAGUUUAUAUUUUAUGUGAAUUUAUUUUCGUAUUUCUUUAUUUAUAGAUUCUUAAUGAUGGUUAUUGUCACUUCUCAGUGAAUGUUCAGAUUUUUCAAUCAUGUUUGAACUAUUUCUAUUUUAUUUCAUUACUCUGUUAUACAAUUAAGAAUUUUACUCUAUUUUUGUUAUUUUCAAUUUCUUCGUCAUGGCUACAUCAUUUUUAUUCAUUAACUUUGACCUUUUGUCAUUUUAUUAUUUUAAUCAUUGAUAAUCGUUUGAAUUACUAUGUAUGAUUUUGAUAUGAGUUCAGUGACUUUGUUAAUCAAAUAAACAUAUUAGUUGUAAAUACCUUUUCUUUUCAUGACACAUGAAAAUACAUUUCUCUUCGUACGUCAUAAAAUACUUUUCUUUUUCACAUGUAAUUUAUACAUUUUAUACAUAUCUUUUACAUGUUUUUAUUUAUAUAGUUAAUAUACAUAUACUUUUACAUGGUUUUAAACAUUUAUAUUUUUUUCAAAGAAUUAUUUUAUAUUUAAUACACAUACACUUUUAUAUUAUUUUAAAUAUUUAUACCUCCUCCCUCAUUGAUAAGUUUAAUCUAGCCGGUACCACAUUUGUGGAUCCUGAAGGGUGCCUAACCCCUUCCCUUCGGGAUAAUUUGAACCCUUACCUAGAGUCUCAAUAGGUUUUCGCAGACUAAAACAUUAAUCAUACAUAUUAACAAAUAAAUAGGUUUCCUUGUUUUCCUUUAAAAAUUAGGUGGCGACUCUAUACAAAAUUUCAAUUCUUUAGAGCCCAUUAAGUCAUGUUUUGUUUGACCUUGGCAAAAAUAGGGCAUGACAUCGUGAAUGAUUUGUGUGUUUGGUAUGUUUAAAUCAUGAUUGUGUAUUGGUUGAUGUUGGAUUUGAAAUUUUGAAAAGUUAAUUGAUAAUUGAAGCAUGUGUUAAUCAUUGAUUGAUAAAAAUGAAGUUGGGGGGCUGGAAGCAAAAUUGGUAAAACUGAAUAUUAUGGUAUUUUGAUUCAUUGUUGAUGUUGAAUAUGAUAUGUAUCAAGCGGGUAGGGAAGCAUUAGGCUGGUUAGGGAAAUUUAGAAUUAGUGGAUUGUUUGAAAUAUGUGUUGAAUGUCUUAUUUACCGAAUUUGAAAAGUGUAUUCAUUUGGCAGGGGAAUGCCCCGAGGUAUUUGUAUUUAUUCACUGGGGAAUGCCCUGACGUACUAUGUUGGCAGAAGAUGAUCGUGAUGACGGCCCGAGGCAUCGGGUAAAGCAACGGAGUUUAGCCUAGGACUAGUUUAGAAUAGGAUUUAUAUUUUCGCAUUUUUCUGUUCUUGUUUUGUAAUAAUUGGACAGGACAUUAUGAUUUUGGAUUUGUUUUUUUUGUUGUUGGUUUGAUUGAUUGUUUUGUGUGUUUUAUAUGAUUAUACAUUCAUAGUGUCAAAUUAGCCGAUAUUAUCCAUCAAGCGACCAUGGUCAAACCACGGGAUCAAGGGGUGCCUAACACCUUCCCCUCGGUCAACAGAAUUCCUUAGCCGGAAUCUCUAUUCGUAAACUAGUUUUAAAGAGUUAAAUCGGUUUGAAAAGGAUAUUUCAAAGGUGACUUGGCACACCAGAUUAUGCCAAGUGGCGACUAUGAGUUUUGAAAGUAUAAAUAAUCCUUUCUCGAAACAAAUUUUCACCUUUUAUCACUUCAAUAAUAAAAACCCUUUCAAACUUAAAAUCAUUAAUCUUUUCGGAGCUAAAAAGGGGUGUGGCAGCUCUUUUAUCUUAACUCACAAUCGUCUUAUGGUGCUUAUGAGGUUUUUCACCAAUAAGACUCUCUUUUUUAUUUCUCUCAAAUUUCCAUCGCCUUAUGGUGCCCGUGAGGGUUUUCACCAAUAAGACUCAUCUUAUUUCUCUCCUGAUUUCUUAUGCAGAGAAAGACGAGUAGUUCCCAAAAUGUGCCAUCAUAUCCAUUGCACGUUUAGCCUUAACAUUCUCAAAGAUUGAUCUGAAGGUUUUUCUUUGGUUGAUUCUGAUUUUUGUUUCUUUUUUUUUCUCUUUUCUCUUUGGGAUUUUUUUUUUCUGACCCUAUUUUUGACACUCUUCUCUUUUCUUUCCUUUUGGACAUAUUUUUUUUUCUUGACACUUUUUUUUUGAGUUUUACUGACUCUAUCUUGAUUCCAAAAGAGAGGUAUGAAAGAAAAUAGGACUAAAUCUCAAAUGGGGUAAACAAAGGAUGACAUAAUAUUUGGAUAACGGAAUGAAAUGUCUUCUUCAUAUCAAUCCUUAAAAAUACAAGUACAUAUCAUGCAAUAUGGAAGUAAAAGAUGAAGAUCAUUUAUGACAUCUUUUGCAGCAUUAACUUUGACUGAGUCUGUGCGUCACUAUUUCUUCUGCGCUUUUCUAGCAUACAACUCUACUUUUGUUGCAUAUUCCUCACAUUAAAUGACUCAUGAUUUUGUGGAGCUGAUUUUUGUUCUGUUCACGCAGCCACUAUUUGACCUAAUUGAGAUAUAUUUUUCAAUUGAUGACCAAGUUAAACUUAUGAUUCUCAAAAUAAUUGCCUUAAUUUUUAAAGAAGGCUUGAACUUGUCAGCAAAUGUCUCAGCACUUACUUAUUUUCUCAGAUGCUCUCUUUUCUAACUUUAACCCUCUAAUUCAAUGUUCAUGCUUAAACUGGAUUUUAAGAUCUGGCUAAAAAUUUCACUAGCAUGUCAUAUCACUAAAGUCAACAUAAAAUGUACUAUGUAAAAAAAACACACAUAUUUAAACCACAAAGAGAAAUGGGACACUUCAUUUAGCUGAAACAAAAGAUAGAAGGGUUUGAACAUAAAUGACAAAAGGACAAAAUAAGAUAGAUCCCAAACUACAACCCUGAAAUAAUUCGGACAACAAAAAAUAAAACAAAAUAAGCUACCAGACCUCUUCCUAGUAGGGAGAGGGGUGACUUCUCAAAUGCUCAGCCUGACAUCUUAGCCACUUGUUUGCAUAUCAGUAUGACUAAAUCUUUCCUCACUGUCAAUGUUCUGCACCAUAAUUGAUUUAUCUUCAAUAAUCUUUUCAAUUUCUCUUUUCAAAGCACGACAAUCUUCAAUACUGUGACCCUGAAUAUCAGAAUGAUAGGCACAUCAUACAUUAGGAUCAAAACUUUUUGAAUGCAGGUUAGGAGUAUACCCAAGGAGAGGAGUGAUCAUGCCCCACUGUACUAAUCUCUUGAAUAAACUAGCAUAUGACUCUCCAAUUAGUGUGAAGCUAUCCCUCGACUUCUACCUCAUUUCAUUAUUUGUUUUGGACCAAAACAUGGCCUAGAAGGGCUUCGGUAUGUUUGUGGAGUUUGAGUAUGACCCUGAGGAGUUGGUGCACGCCAUUGUCGGUAAGAAGGGAAUUGACCAUAGGGUUGUGCAUUGUAUAUUGGAUAUGGAGGUGGGGGAAUAGAGUAUAAUGGAUUUUUGGAAAGAUUUUGUGGAGCUUGGGCAUAAAAUUGGGUUUGAGCCUGUGGGUAACGAUGGUGUAGUCCUCUUGCCCAUGCCUGUUGUUCAACUACAAUGGCAAAUGCAUCUUCCUCAUACUUUCUUCCUCCGAAACUUCCUGAACCUUUUUGAACUGCUUGAGUAUUCACUUUCAAUGUUGCAAAACUCACAAUGCGGCCGGUCUUAAUUCCAUCCUCUAUCAUCUCCCCCAUUUUGAGGACCUAAAUAAAUGGCUUGCCUAAUGCACAUAACAAGUGUUCAUAAUAUGUUUAAUCCUGUGCUUGAAUAAACACCUCUACUAUCUUACUUUCUUUCAUUGGCGGUUUCACCCUAGCAGUUUGUUCAAGCCAUCUAAUUGCAUACUCUCUGAAAGUCUCAAUACUCUUUUUCUUCAUGUUAGUUAGGGAUUUCUCAUCAGGAAUCAACUCCACAUUGUAUUGGAAUUAUUGCACAAAUUCAUUAGCUAGGUCAUCCCAACUAAUCCACUUGUCGAUGUCUUGGUCAACAAACUAUUCCGAAUAUAGGCCUGAAAGACUCUCAUCAAAAUAUGCCAUGAGUAAUUCUUCCUUCCCCCCAGCACCCCUUAGUUGGUUGCAAUAACGUCUCAAGUGUGCUACAGGAUCGCCAUGUCCAUCAUACUUCUCAAACUGAUCGCCAUGUCCAUCAUACUUCUCAAACUUCGGCAUUUUAAAACCAAAAGGAAGAUAAACCCAUAGAAACAUGCACAAAUCUUUAUAUGAGACACUUUUGUACCCCCCAAGUCCCUAGAGGUCUUUCAUAGCCAGUUUCAAACUUCUCAAUUUUCUGAUCAUUUUCUCUUGUUCUUAUAAAAGGCUUCUCAGUUGUAAGAGGAAAUUCAGGCGGGUGAGUGUAGCCAUAAGGAUUAGUUGACUUAAAUAUGGGCUCAAUAGCAUGAUGUUGUUCAGCAAAAAUAUUCAAUACAGGAUCUCUCGCAAAGUGGAGAGGCAUAACUUGUGGAUAAACCUCAAAAGUAGGAACUUCGGGUGGGGGUGGUGCUACAAAAACAUGAACAGUGGGUGGAGCCAAACAUAUGGUAGCUUUGUGUUGAGGAGUGAGGAAAUGAAUAUUGGAAGGGUUUGGAUAGUGUUUCCCCGGAUUAGAUCCUGAUGUAUGUGGUAACGUGUCAAUAACAAUAGGAACUUGUGCAUGUGACAAUGGAGGCAAGCUAGAAAGAUAUUCCAGAUUAUCAGUGGGAAAUGGAGGAGGCGGCAACCCACUAGCCCAAGAUCGAUGCAUUUCUAUCAUUUGUUGCCUUAAUUUCUGAAUCUCUUCAUUAGCUUCCAAAUUCUCAUUCCCAAAACACCUUAUCUGAUCAGUGACAACAAACUCGGUAUCCUUGUUGGCCAUAACUUUCUCUGUGACUUGGUGCAAUAUGGAGGACCAGCCAAAAUGCCACAAACCAAUCACCUUAAACUAACUGAACAAGAGAUAGCAAAUGCGUUAGAAUUCAACACUUUUUUUUCAAAACCCUUUUUUUUAAAAGGUCACCGAACCCAAGAGGGGCGCCUACGUAUCUAACUCCCGAGAGAGGAGAAUCAGGUGUGCGUAGUUCGUGAAGUCUUGCCAAAAUGGUCAACUAAACUCUUUUUGCUUUUUUUUCUUUUUCUUGAAACUUUAAAAAGAAAAGGAAAUAACAAAUUGUCAAAAGAAUUGACGAAAAUCUUUUUGCAUUUUUCAAGUUUAAAAUUCCUAUACAAAAUGAAACCUAUGAUUACCAGAGAAAAAUCUUUUUGGGUUUUCAAUUUUGAAUUUCAUAUGAAAAUGAAACUUGAACCUAUUAAAGGAAAAAUAUUUUUUGUAGUUUUCUUUAAAAGAUGUAUAUGAAGCACCUACUCUAAUAAAGAGUGAAGAAAAUCUUCUUUUUUUUUUGAAUUUUUCAAAUAAAAUCUCUGAACCAACAAUAGGCUGCCUACGUAUCUCACUCCCGAGAGAGGAGAAUCAAGGAUGCGUAGUUCGUCCAAAUUGGACAAUUAAGGAUUAAAACGAACUAAGACUUGACUUGAGAGACGUGAUUACAGACGGACGAUAAGAAAUAAAAUCUUUUUGGGUUUUCAAUUAGACACUUCACACAAAACUGACACCAACAACAAUGAAAGAGAAAAAAAUUAUUUUGGCAUUUUCGCUAUAUGAAAUGUACAAAACUUCUACCAUUUUUCAAUUUCUUUUAUAAAAACUGCUAAAAUUUUUUUCCGAAAAUUUCAAAUUAUGAAUGCAUGCUAAAGGAGACAAAGUGAGAAAUCUUUUUGAUGUUUUGAUUUUUGAACAAAUGAGUGCAGAAAAUAAAGAAAUCUUUUUGAAUUUUUGAAUUGUGAAAAACAAAAGCCAUAAAGAACACUAAAAGCUACGAAACUUUAUUUUUAAACGGUUUCUUGUCUACAUACUUUAUUUUUAACACAUGUUUUACCCAAAUCAGUCCGUCAAAUGACCACGUUACCUUCAAAGAUGCAACAUUUAACACGUAGGGAUGCUUUAGAGGCAGGUCUCCUACAAAGGGCCAAAUGGGUCCCGCUAGGUCUUCAAUAUGAUGCACAUAAGCAUGGCCUAAAGGCUGACUUACGUUGGGGUUCACCAACAAGGCUGUUCGGAGGAGCGUAUGAUCGAUAGUGGCUGCUUUGCUUUCCAUUUACUCCAUAACACUGACGGCUCCCCCCCUAAACUAAGGUUGACUCAACUAGAGGUCGUGUACAACACGUGUACUACAAACUUGUUGCAGAAAGAAUGACUCGGGUUAUGCACAUGAUGCCAGAUAUAAAGCGGUAAUACAUAAGAUAAAAACUGUAAACAAAGAGCACGUAGGCACUCAACAAUGAUAAUACAAUAACACAAAACAAUACAAACAAAAUGUCUAUACACUUAUAGUGCCAAACUAAGCCGAUACAACUCCAAAAUAAGCUCGAAUUCUGAAAAGUCCCCAGCAAAGUCGCCAGAGCUAUCACACCCCUUUUUCGCUCCGAAAAGAUUACAGAUUUUAGACUCGAAAGGGUUUUUAUUAUUAAAGUGACAAAAGGUGAAAAUUUGUUCCAAGAAAGGAUUAGUUAUACUUUCAAAACUCAGUCUCCACUUGGUAUAAUCCAGUGUGCCAAGUCUCCUUUGAAAAUCCUUUUCAAAAUGAUUUGACUCUUUAAGACUGGUUUGCGAACAGAGAUUCCGGCUAAGGAAUUCUGUUGACCGAGGGGAAGGUGUCAGACACCUCUCAAUCUCGUGGUUCGACCAUGGUCGCUUGAUGGAGAAUAUCGGCUAAUUUGAAACUAUGAAUGUAUAAACCACAUAAAACACACAAAACAAUCAAUCAAACCAACAAAACAAAACAAAUCCAAAAUCAUAAUGUCCAGUCCAAUUAUUACAAAACCGGAACAGAAAAAUGCAAAAAUAUAAAUCCUAUUCUAAACUAGUCCUACACUAAACUCCGUUGCUUUACCCGAUGCCUCGGGCCUUCAUCACGAUCAUCUUUUGCCAACAUAGUACGUCAGGACAUUCCCUGGUGAAUAAAUACAAAUACCUUGGGGCAUUCUCCGGCCAAAUGAAUACACUUUUCAAAUGGGGCAAACAAGACAUUCAACAAAUAUUUCAAACAUUCCAACAAUCCACCAAUUCUAAAUUUGCCUAACCAGCCUAAUGCUUCCCUACCCGCUCGACACAUAUCAUAUUCAACAUCAACAAUGAAUCAAAAUACCAUAAUAUUCACUUUUACCAAUUUCGAUUCUCGCCCCCAACUUUAUUUUUAUCAAUAAAUGAUUAACACAUGCUUCAAUUAUCAAUUCACUUUUCAACAUUUCAAAUCCAACAUCAACCAAUACACAAUCAAGAUUUAAACAUACCAAAAACAUAAAUCAUUCACGAUAACGUAAAAAUUAAAGCAAGAGAGAUAGAAUUGGACCUCAAUGUUACUUUUAUUUCAAUCCAUCAAAGUAUUUGAUUAGAGCUCCAACCGGAAUGCCUUGACCCGACCUCGACCAAUAAAAUCCAACUCAAUAUCAGAAAAUACCACUGGGAUAGAUUUAAAACCAGCGCAAACAACCUCACUACGAAUCCCGAAUCAUGAAUUCCAAAUUCGAAUUGCAUUUUACCUUAAUAAGAUCAUUUUUCCGUCUAUUUUUUACCCAAAAAUUGGAGUAGAUGGGGUGGGUGUGGUCGGAGUUGAUGUUGUUCCAUUUUUCUGGCGAAAUUUCACAAGAAUCGAGACUAAUGAUCAAUUUGGUUACUGAUUUUUGGUGGGUUACGAGAUGGAACCUGAGCUGUUGAUCCAAGGGGGCGUUUCUCGACAGAAGCUCACCGGAACUGACGUGAAUCGUCGGUGAAAUGCCAUUUCCGGUGAUACUUCGCCGGACUAUCUCAACACUCUUCUGUUUCUCUCUCAUGAUCUCCCUACGUCAAUCUCUCCUCACUCGAAUCUCUCUUCCUCUUCACUGUGCGUGUGUGGCUAAGUGUAUUAUCGUGUAUUUGUGAUGAAAAUUGGGGGUAUCACUGUGGGUGUAUUAUGAAGAAGGAAAAAGAAAUUAGAGUGCGUUGAUGAUAAGGUUGGUUUGUGCUCCCCCCUCAGUAGGUGAAUACAUAUAUUAUAUGUAAAGUCUUUUCUUUGUGUGAAUUGGUGGACCCCGU
RNAcentral lists this long non-coding RNA (11471 nucleotides) under Capsicum annuum. RNAcentral's name for it is "long non-coding RNA (CANN_LNC003663)". The record is from RNAcentral. Lineage: Eukaryota; Viridiplantae; Streptophyta; Magnoliopsida; Solanales; Solanaceae.